Long non-coding RNA from Herpailurus yagouaroundi (jaguarundi), 738 nucleotides. RefSeq lists it as uncharacterized. NCBI's taxonomy places the organism in Eukaryota, Metazoa, Chordata, Mammalia, Carnivora, Felidae. The record is from RefSeq and is a predicted model, not a curated record. The transcript is spliced from 3 exons.
CAUGAUCUGAGCUGAAGUUGGAUGCUCAACUGACUGAGCCACCCAGAUUUAAGAAAAAUGUUCAUCUUAAGCUAACUGAUUUACAGCAAUUAGAUAAAAUAUACCUUUGUGGACAAAUGGAAACAUUUAUCUUUUCUCUCUACCUGAACCCUCCAGAAUUCAGAAACUCUCAUUUACUGAAGCCCCAGUCAGCGGAGGGGCUCCAGCAGCAAUAGUCAGAUUCCCCAGGCUGGGGAAGGGCCUCUGCAUUAGCACCCCUGACAACACCAAAAGCUGCAUGUCUUGGUUAGAUAGCUCUGAUUAGGAUUCUCAUUGGAAUACUCUGCCGUUAGUGUGCAUGUGGUAUCCAGGGACCUAAAAGUCUAUCCACCAUGAGCAUUUGUAUGUUACAGUGAAUGCCAAAUUGGGAGAAGAAUCAAAAGAAUCUGUUGCUGAUGAAGAAGACAGUGAUGAGGACACUGAACCUAUUGCUGAAUUUAGAUUUGUGCCUCAUGAUAAACCGGGUUGGAGGCAGCGUUCACUGCAAUGUGUGAAUGCCAGGCUUCGUGUCCAGAUCCUGAGGAUGAAGAUUCAGAUGAUUAUGAGGAAGAAUAUAAUGUAGAAGCAAAUGAGCAAGGGCAGGGGACAUCCCUACAUUUUAUAUCUAUGAAGGAGGAUUAUCCCAGGAGCACCCGGUGGCUUAGUCAGUUGGGCAUCCGACUUCGGCUCAGGGCAUGAUCUCACAGUUUGUGAGUCUGA